AACGCGAAGAACCUUACCAACUCUUGACAUCCCCCUGACCGGUACAGAGAUGUGCCUUCCCCUUCGGGGGCAGGGGUGACAGGUGGUGCAUGGUUGUCGUCAGCUCGUGUCGUGAGAUGUUGGGUUAAGUCCCGCAACGAGCGCAACCCUUGUCCUUAGUUGCCAGCAUUUGGUUGGGCACUCUAGGGAGACUGCCGGUGACAAACCGGAGGAAGGUGGGGAUGACGUCAAAUCAUCAUGCCCCUUAUGAGUUGGGCUACACACGUGCUACAAUGGACGGUACAAAGGGCAGCGAAGCCGCGAGGUGGAGCCAAUCCCAGAAAGCCGUUCUCAGUUCGGAUUGCAGGCUGCAACUCGCCUGCAUGAAGUCGGAAUCGCUAGUAAUCGCAGGUCAGCAUACUGCGGUGAAUACGUUCCCGGGUCUUGUACACACCG
Molecule: ribosomal RNA, 435 nt
Filed under: uncultured bacterium
Lineage: Bacteria
Description: bacterial SSU rRNA
Rfam family: Bacterial small subunit ribosomal RNA
Source: RNAcentral